UGCCAGCCGCCGCGGUAAGACGGAGGGUGUGAGCGUUAUCCGGAUUUAUUGGGUUUAAAGGGUACGUAGGCUGUUUUAUAAGUCAGUGGUGAAAGCUAGCAGCUCAACUGUUAAAGUGCCAUUGAUACUGUAAGACUUGAGUAUAGUCGAAGUGGGUGGAAUUCUGCAUGUAGCGGUGGAAUGCGUAGAUAUGCAGAGGAACGCCGAUAGCGAAAGCAGCUCACUAGGCUAUUACUGACGCUGAGGUACGAAAGCGUGGGGAGCGAACAGGAUUAGAUA
RNAcentral lists this ribosomal RNA (279 nucleotides) under uncultured bacterium. RNAcentral describes it as "partial 16S ribosomal RNA". It matches the Rfam family "Bacterial small subunit ribosomal RNA", at positions 506 to 784 of the family's 1533-position model. The record is from RNAcentral.